AUGUCUCUGAUAAGGCAACUUACUAUGAAUGUCUCAAAAUUCAGUUGACGCAGCUGUAUUUGGGAGCUAUGUAAUGUACUUGGAAGUGUUCUUGUUCCUCUAUUCUGGUGAGCACAGGAGGGUCCUUGCCAUGGGGUUUCUUGCUCUAGCAUUGUCAGUCCCAGCUGAAUCUUUGCAUUUUCAGAGAUGAACACCUGUGUCUAAGGACUCAUUAUUCUUCCACUUCAGGCCAUGGGGCAACACUUUCACUGUUUUGAAUAAAUGGGAACAGGCUGAGUGGCAAAAAUGUGCUGCUCUCUUGCAUGAUGUGCUAAAGGCACCAGGUGUUCUCCCUGCAGGACCAAGUUUGCUCUGGUUUCCAUGAAGACCUGUGGGGAUUACUGCCAAGUUACUUGGAAGCUCUGUGUCAUUUCUCUCCUUGUUUUUAAGCUGCUUUCCAAACAAAACCCAAAACAAACAGAAAGCCAGGUGACAUCCUUGUUCUUGUUGGCAGCUGCUUGUAUCUCCUGCAAUGGAAUGGCAUGACACCUUCUCUUCUUUUGGCCACUGCAUUGACUUGGCAGGAUCUGAGACAAGGUAUGGCUUACACGGGGGAUCCACUGGCAUCCAUCUCUUACACAGAUGGUGUGAGAUGCUUUUGGGCUGAUAUUGAUGCUUCAUGUCUGCCAUAGCUACUAAAGCCAACUGUAAAGCAAGAGAACCAAAUUAAUGUUCUCAGCAAAUUUGUAAACAAAGUGAACACUGAGCCCCUUGAACGUUACUGGUGAGGCCAGUCCCUGGUGUAAGCAAGUGCUUUGACACAAAUGGCUGCCAUAGUGUUGUAAGGGCAUAUUAAAAGACUAUUAGCUAAUGUGCUAUCUUUGCUUACAACUCUGGGCCUUCACCCUGACCUGGAACUGUGGCAACAACCAACCAUGGGAGGGACAGGGAUGAGGCUCUAAAACACCAAGAUGAUAAAUUCAGAGCAAGAAAAAUAAAAUAAAAAAAUAAAAAACUCAUUUGUAUUUAAUUAAUAAAUUUGUUCCUUUGUGUGAAUUUUGACUACAAGGAAAAAAAAAUCACACUGAAAAGACUAAAUAUAACUCAACAAUGUGUCCAUCUACAGCAGUUCAACAUGCUUUUCUCUUUUACACUUUUGUGUGGUCCAGUGUAGUAUAAAUAAUUGCCAUUGUUAUAUACCCAUGCAAUAGAUGAGGAACAUGGAACAUGCUCCUGAGCAUGCGUGUAGUAGCAUGGGUAUGGUACGUGAGUGCAGCAAAUGACAGUGCUCCAGAGAGGGAGGUCUGGCCUAGCCAGACCUAGGGAGGAGGCAUGGUGUUUCUCAGCUUGUUGGGCUUGCUCAGCACAGGCUGAAAGGAUAGCCAGGUUUCAAGGUAUUGCCACAAGUUACAUUUCCAAUAAUUUCAUCACAUCUACCCUUCAGAUUUUAUGGAGCCAGUUGCUCAUUUUAGGCAGAUGGAAAGAAUUCCAAUUUGCUGCUAUUUCUGUCCAGAAGAAGAAAUAAGGCAAAACUGGGAGAGGCAUGGCUAUGAUUAUUCUUUGUUACAUGAGAGGACCAUUUGUACUUCCAACUUGCUAGAGACUGUUAUAGCUUACUGUGAACGUAGAAAUCUUUCCAGUGAUUUAACAAGGAUUACUUAAUCACCCGCUUAAAUGCAGUUGUUCUGGCUGGAUUCUGACAGUCCGUGUGAAAUAUGCAGUAUGAGGAGGAAAAACAAAACAAAACCAAACCAAACCAAAAAAAAAAAAAAAAAAAAAAAAAAAAAAACACGGGAGUGAAGGAUUUUGUCUUGCAUUUCCAAAACACUUCUGAAAAGUGAAAUUAAUUUGGUUACUGUUUUGCUCAUGCUAUGGCUCCACAGGGCAAAAUCUUACCCAGAAGAGAAGCUUUGCAACACCAAAAACAGAAUCCUGUCUCUCCAAAGGGAUUGGAGCGGCUUCACCUGUGAGGUUUGUGUGGUUCCCUUAAACAGUGGUGAGCUGUGCUAAAAGAGCUUGUGUCCCAUGCCAGCGGCUUCAGCAGGUGAGCUUGCUGGCAGGAAACCGACUGAUUUGGUGGCUGUGGGCUGGGUUUGACCCUGUCAGUGCCUGAGUUAAAUGGCUAGGGAAUGAGAAUUUUAAAAGCUGAGCUUUGUUCAGUAACCAACAGAGAUAAUUGUCAGAGAAAGGUGAUGGACUGUUUGCAGAUUGUGAAAAUUUCUAUCAGUGGUAUGGCCAACCCUGUCCCUGACUUGGGCUGCUCCUGCAGUUGUGGAUAAUAUCCAUAUAAAAUGUUAUCUUGCCAUGUGAAGCUUUUGUUUUCCAUGUUGUUGGUGGAUUUUCAGUUUCAACAUGAUAGUGCGCUAAUGUUGUCUGCCAACAUCCAGAAGUAAAUGAGGAUUGAUAUUGCUCCAGUUACUCAAAACCUUCAUGUUUCUAGCAACUGAACUUGUGACCUCCAGCAGGCUGGCACUGACAUGGGCAUCAGGAAGUUCAGUGUGUUGAAAGGGCACAUAAAUACUCUGAGUCCAUUGGUGAUGUACAAGAGUAUCUUUCAACCACAGAGCUACUGAACAGCAUUACCAUAAACCUUGUUCCUGCUUUGCUUUUUAACCAUGCCUGUCAGAUGGAUUUUAACAUCAUGAUCUCUCCUCAAAGAGAUGAAGUAAAUAAGUGAUUCACUUUAAAUAUUGAAAAAGUACAGUUAUCCUUGUCAAGAAGAAUAAAAUUGCUUUGUAACUUGUAAGAAGCUCACAACCUGCUUGCCACAGAUCUUAGCUCUGCAGACAUUGUGUGUAGGAUGGCAGGCAGGCAAGAUGUGCUCACCAGGGGAUCAGAUUUGCUCAGGGUUCAUCAAGGCAGGAUACUGCACACUAACUAAAGCCCAAGAUCUACAGGUCCACUCUGAUGGGGAGCAGACACAUGGGGCUGAUCCUGGGACUAAAACUGCUUGCAUGGGGAAACAUGCAGGGAGCUCCAUGGUCACCAUGUGAACUUGCACUGGGAGCUGAAGGCACACACUGAAUGUUUGCAGUCAUUGGUGCCUGGAGGAGGCAGGUGCUUUCCAAACCACAUGAGUGACACUGACCACCACAGAAUGAAUUUUGAUGCUGUCAUCCUCACUUGACAGUCACGAUUUUUGAGUAGGAGCUCACGUCUCUGUAAGUGUGUUUUGAGAGGUUUUUGCAACCUGUGGGUGUGGAGGCCCCAUGGCUGCAAGCCAGGCUCAGUCCCUUGCCACAGUGAAGAGUGGGACUGGCUCAACAGCUGAUACAAAAUUUUCCUGUCUCGGUCCCUUUUGUUUGCCGUCACUGUUAAACAUUAACUAAGUUCAGCACCUUACUUUUGUUCCAGCCUACUGCACAAAUGACCACUGCUGAGAAGACAUGUGGCUCUUUUCCACUUGCAGGGUCACCUUUGCUGCAUGGGGACCUGUAUCUGGUGAUGUUAAAACUGUGUUUCUUACAGUUGCUUAUUGGUGGACAAGGUCCAAGUGGCUUUUCUUUGCUCUUCCCUGUCAAAUCUGUGGUGUAUGAAUAUUAAUGCCUUUCACUGAAAUACCAAGGACUUAGCUAUUUUCUAGGUUAUGAUGUGCAGAGCUCCUUAACUGGGCACAGGUGACAUUGUUAGGAAGCAAGUGUAUCACUACAGUUACUGAAGAAAAGAAAGAGUUGAAAAAGCCUCAGAACAAGUCUGCAAAAAGUUCUCAGGGGCAGUUUUGUGGUAACCACCAUCUGCUCUUGACUCCUUGGUUCAGGAGCAGUGUUUGAGUGAAGCCUGUUGCUUUCUAGAUGUGUUUGUGCUUAGCCAGGUAGUAUUACGCGUGCUGCCCAUCUGUAUAUUUUGCUGGGUUAAAGCUGCUUAUGAAAAAGGCUGCAAAGAAAUGUAUUUGAUUAACUUAGUUUGCAACGUACAUGAGAUUUUAGAAAAAUAUAUAUAUUAUAAAGUUUUAAUGUGUUUUGUGUUUUGCAGAUCUAACUCCCCCUUUCUGCCUUCCUUGUGGAGUGGAAGACCACUGUUAACAGGCUCCUCUUGCUUCUUGUUUUUGUAACCACACCAUUAACGGCAUUGCUACAGCUGCAGAGUCAUUCUAGUCUGCCAUUUCCUUUGCUACCUGGUAAAACUUGCUGCAUUGAAAAAGUAAUACUUCCAAUGUUAGUGGUGAAAUGAGUGUUUUGUUCUUGUUCCAUUUCCUGCGUCAGAAUUUCUGCUAUAAGAAAUACUCUGUUACAGUCAACUUGCUUUAAAUCAAGCUUUAGCAUGGCAACAUGUUAAAGAAAAUUUCAAUUUCUUGCACCAAACUCUCAUACACACAAUUUGAACUUCAGUCUUGGUCCAUGGUUCCUCCAGUAAAUACACACACCCUAUCUUAUAAAGUACUAAUGGAUUACAGCUGGAAUAACAGAUUAAAAGGAAGUCAGAACACCUGCCUCUGAUCACCAUAAAAACAUCAGCAAUACCUUUUCCUCAUAUUGCUGGUGGUUUGCUGACUGCAUGGAAAGGGAUCUGUAACUGGUAUUAAUUACAGUGGAGUAUUUGCUAAUUGCUUGUGCUUUACAAUAAAUACUAAUAUACCUGAGGAAGUGAAAUAAAAGCCAUGACAGUUAAUUUCAAUGGAUGCUGUUAGUUUAGUGGGGAAUCUGAUCUUAACCGGUGCUUGAGAUUGUUUAGUAACAGAUUUACAAUUUACAUGAAAAUGAACAAUUUUUUGGUUUUAUUUGUUUGUUUUUUUCCUCCCUUAAGCAAAGCCCUCCCACUGUACUAAUUUUGGUGUCUGUGAACUACCUUUUGGCCUAUCCAGCUGACCUCAUGUCGUCUAACCCACCCCUUGCAACACACCUUUUUUUGCAACAAGAUUUAAAGCACCUUUUCCCCCACUACAUGUUUUGGUAAAACUGCUUUUCUUGGAGAUUCAUGAGAGGGAACCAGAUAGAACAAUAAACGACAAUUUGUUUUAGGGGUGUUUUAGGCAAGAAAAAAAUAUAUUUUAUUGCAUUGUUUGCUUUUUUUCUGAACUCUAGAUUUCUUUAACCCUCAAAUGCAUAAACAAAUUGUUAUAAACUUUUUAAAGUUUAAAAUAGCGUGUAUUUAUUUUGUCACUGCAUUUCAAUACUUGUUCUUUCUUGAAUUUGAUUUCCGUAAUAUUAUAGCAGCAAACUAUCUUUAAUUUGAAGCUUGUGGUAGCAGGAUCAGUAUUUGUCCCCCCCCCCCCUUUUUUUUUUCAGUUUACGCUACUCUAUUUAUGUUAAAAAUUUAUUGUUUCUGUGCCUCCAUUUGAAGUAGGAAUGGACAUAGUGGAUUCCAUGAAUUUCCAGCAACUACAGGAAGUAGAACUUGAAUAAACUUUGCACAAAGGACUUGAUCCCAAUCAACAAAGUAGCUUAUGAAGAUUAAUGGCUUUCUGCAAAGGCAAUUCAGACAUAGCUCUGCGGGAAUUAUAUGGCUUUCUGUUUUAGAAUUGCAUAUCCAAGACUUGAACAAGAAAUUCAAGGUAUUUAUUGAAUUUGAACUUUGUAGAGAUUCUCUCAACCCCAGUUAAAAUCUUGGUAUGCUAAUUUAACAUGCUUCCUAAUUUUAAAAACUUGUUUUAGCUCUGACCAGAAUAGUAGCUAAUGCAGUCAGCUGCCACUUUUGCAGCAGGUUCUCUGUCUUCCUUGUUUCUUAUGGCCUCAGAAAGCAGUCCAAGGUAAAUUAAGGAGAUGUGAUUAUUAGGGCUUCUGAAAGAUUCAGUAGUCACCAAUGAAAAUGUAUAAUAAAAAGAACCAAGCUACACCAACAAGUGAAGUCCCUGAAAAAGCCUGGAGGCAAAAUGGUUAUAAUUAAAACCUGAAAGCAAUGAGUUCAUAAAGAAGUAAACGAAGAGGAGAGCUCUCUGUAAAUGAUGAUCUAAAAAGUGUUCUGGGUUGUGAGACCUCAUUUCAAAUGUAUUCAUUAAAUAAUAUUUGAAUCAUUUAACAGUUUGAACUCUACUGCACUGUUAAUAUCUUAAGGGGACCUUUUUUUUUUCAGUAACAAAGAAGUCUUUGUUCUUAGUCUAUGCUUGGGCUGUGCUUUGGAUAUUAGUUGGAAACCUGAUAGCCUGACAUUGCUCAAAGUCUGUGAGUACAAUGUGAGUCGUCUGCAACUGGGAUUAAAACAGGCCUUUUGUACCAAGAUGCUGAGAGGCCAAGUGAUCCUGGAAAAGCAAUGGUUUUGGAUGGCAGGAGACGUUUAACCCUUUGUGCUUGUGGCAGGGAGCCAGGCGUGUUGCUGUGUGAAGCAGAACCCAAGUGUUUGUAGGGGACGAGGUGGCCCAUGUUGCACAGGGGUAGCCAGGGCUGCUUUGUGUAUGGGUUGUUAGUCUACUUGAGUAGUUACUGUCAAAUAAGCAAAUAGUGCCUUGUAUGGAGAGCAUGUGGGCAUAUCCCCCACCUCCUGUCCCUGCCUCGCUGCCCAGCCUGUGCUUGCUCCCUUUGGAACAGGCCACAGAAUCACAGAAUUGCAGGGGUUGGAAGGGACCUGGAGAAAUCAUUGGGCCCAGCCCCCUUGCCAGAGCAGGUUGCCCAGGUAGGCCUCCAGAUGGGCCUUGAAUAUCUCCAGAGAAGGAGAC
Molecule: long non-coding RNA, 6568 nt
Organism: Oxyura jamaicensis (ruddy duck)
Lineage: Eukaryota; Metazoa; Chordata; Aves; Anseriformes; Anatidae
Exons: 3
Source: RefSeq, a predicted model, not a curated record